UAAAAUGCUGUGAAGGAAAGAGUAAUAUAUUUUUGGCAUGUAAAGAGAGCUGGGGCAGGUGAAAGCCAGUCAUGCUGGGAUAUAUGAAGAUGGCUCCGGAGCAUAGUGAUUGAAAAUAAGUAAGUCACUGCGGGUGCAACCGUUAUAUUGCAGGGUGAUGAUAGUCACCUAGUGAGGUUUAUGUUGUGAGACAUAGACAAAAUAGGGUGGUAACGCGAUACCUCGCCCCUAUA
RNAcentral lists this non-coding RNA (233 nucleotides) under Fervidicella metallireducens. Its description in RNAcentral is "T-box sequence". It matches the Rfam family "T-box leader". From Rfam's summary of the family: Uncharged tRNA acts as the effector for transcription antitermination of genes in the T-box leader family. T-boxes are found upstream of many aminoacyl-tRNA synthetase genes and some amino acid biosynthetic genes usually in Gram-positive bacteria. The record is from RNAcentral. Lineage: Bacteria; Bacillati; Bacillota; Clostridia; Eubacteriales; Clostridiaceae.